GAGGAUUUAAGUUAAAAAAAAACUAUAAACCUUCAAAGUUUAAAAUACAUUAUUUAAAAUAUUUGUAAACCUUA
This 74-nucleotide transfer RNA is filed under the name Nisia fuliginosa. RNAcentral's name for it is "tRNA-Trp". The record is from RNAcentral. Lineage: Eukaryota; Metazoa; Arthropoda; Insecta; Hemiptera; Meenoplidae.